RNAcentral lists this ribosomal RNA (489 nucleotides) under Amphelasma cavum. RNAcentral describes it as "partial 16S ribosomal RNA". Lineage: Eukaryota; Metazoa; Arthropoda; Insecta; Coleoptera; Chrysomelidae. The record is from RNAcentral.
AAAUUUAAAGUCUUGCCUGCCCACUGAAAAUUUUAAAUGGCUGCGGUAUUUUGACCGUACUAAGGUAGCAUAAUCAUUAGUUUUUUAAUUAAAAGCUGGAAUGAAGGGUUGGAUGAAAAAAGGAACUGUCUCUAUUUGAUUUUAUAAGAAUUUUAUUUUUAAGUUAAAAAGCUUAAAUUUUAUUGAAAGACGAGAAGACCCUAUAGAGUUUAAUAUAUUUAAUUAAUAUAUUUUUUUUUUAGAAUUUAAUUUAUUUAUAUAGUAAAUAUAUUUAAUUGGGGUGAUUAAAAAAUUUAGUUAACUUUUUUUGUAUUUUUAUAUAGAUUAAUAAGUUAUUGAUCCAAUAUUUUUGAUUAUAAGAUUAAAUUACCUUAGGGAUAACAGCGUAAUUUUAUUGGAGAGUUCAAAUUGAUAAUAAAGAUUGCGACCUCGAUGUUGGAUUAAAAUUUAUAAUUGGUGUAGAAGCUAAAUUAUUAAGUCUGUUCGACU